This 492-nucleotide ribosomal RNA is filed under the name uncultured bacterium. Its description in RNAcentral is "partial 16S ribosomal RNA". It matches the Rfam family "Bacterial small subunit ribosomal RNA", at positions 29 to 507 of the family's 1533-position model. The record is from RNAcentral.
AGUGAACGCUGGCGGUAGGCCUAACACAUGCAAGUCGAACGGCAGCACAGUAAGAGCUUGCUCUUACGGGUGGCGAGUGGCGGACGGGUGAGGAAUACAUCGGAAUCUACUUUUUCGUGGGGGUUAACGUAGGGAAACUUACGCUAAUACCGCAUACGACCUACGGGUGAAAGCAGGGGAUCUUCGGACCUUGCGCGAUUGAAUGAGCCGAUGUCGGAUUAGCUAGUUGGCGGGGUAAAGGCCCACCAAGGCGACGAUCCGUAGCUGGUGUGAGAGGAUGGUCAGCCACACUGGAACUGAGACACGGUCCAGACUCCUACGGGAGGCAGCAGUGGGGAAUAUUGGACAAUGGGCGCAAGCCUGAUCCAGCCAUACCGCGUGGGUGAAGAAGGCCUUCGGGUUGUAAAGCCCUUCUGUUGGGAAAGAAAAGCAGCAGGUUAAUACCCCGCUGUUCUGACGGUACCCAAAGAAUAAGCACCGGCUAACUUCGUG